Molecule: transfer RNA, 71 nt
Organism: Guillardia theta CCMP2712
Lineage: Eukaryota; Cryptophyceae; Pyrenomonadales; Geminigeraceae
Rfam family: tRNA
About the family: Transfer RNA (tRNA) molecules are approximately 80 nucleotides in length.
Source: Rfam
ACACCGAUGGUCUAGUGGUAGAAUACGCCCCUGCCACGGGCGAGACCCGGGUUCGAUUCCCGGUCGGUGUA